Molecule: non-coding RNA, 207 nt
Organism: Vicia faba (fava bean)
Lineage: Eukaryota; Viridiplantae; Streptophyta; Magnoliopsida; Fabales; Fabaceae
Source: the annotation of a GenBank genome assembly
AUGGGAAACGGUUGCAAAGCAGCUUCGCCAAUGGAGUGGGAUGGAGACGACUGGGAAUCUUUGAAACAACCAAAGCCAUGUUCAUCAUCAUCAAGUAAGGUGUUUGACGAAGCUGCUUAUCUUGAUCAUCAUCACAAUAAGGAGACUGAUGUAUUAGGAAAGCUUAGAGCUUCUUGUGAUGUAUUAGGAAAGCUUAGAGCUUCUUGA